This 254-nucleotide ribosomal RNA is filed under the name uncultured bacterium. RNAcentral describes it as "partial 16S ribosomal RNA". It matches the Rfam family "Bacterial small subunit ribosomal RNA", at positions 524 to 776 of the family's 1533-position model. The record is from RNAcentral.
GACGAACCGUCCAAACGUUAUUCGGAAUCACUGGGCUUAAAGGGCGCGUAGGCGGCCGAGCGGGUCGCGGGUGAAAUCCCCCAGCUUAACUGGGGAACUGCCCUCGAUACCACUGCGGCUCGAGGAAGGAAGGGGCAAUCGGAACUGUCGGUGGAGCGGUGAAAUGCGUUGAUAUCGACAGGAACGCCGGUGGCGAAAGCGGAUUGCUGGUCCUUUUCUGACGCUGAGGCGCGAAAGCCAGGGGAGCAAACGGG